AUGUGUAUGGCAAAGCGGGAUGGGGGCCUCGGGUUCAGAGAUCCGGAGGCUUUUAAUCAAGCCUUGCUAGCUAAACAAGCAUGGAGGCUCUUGCAGGUUCCGACUUCUUUAUGUGCGAGGGUGCUCAAAGCUCGAUAUUAUAAAGAUUCAAGCAUCAUGGUUGCGUCGUGUCCGUCCGGGGCUUCCUACACAUUUAGGAGCAUACUACAUGGC
RNAcentral lists this ribosomal RNA (213 nucleotides) under Triticum aestivum (bread wheat). RNAcentral describes it as "partial small subunit ribosomal RNA". The record is from RNAcentral. Lineage: Eukaryota; Viridiplantae; Streptophyta; Magnoliopsida; Poales; Poaceae.